ACAGCAGCAGCCGCGGUAACACGAAGGGUGCAAGCGUUACUCGGAAUUACUGGGCGUAAAGCGUGCGUAGGUGGUGGUUUAAGUCCGUUGUGAAAGCCCUGGGCUCAACCUGGGAAUUGCAGUGGAUACUGGGUCACUAGAGUGUGGUAGAGGAUAGUGGAAUUUCCGGUGUAGCAGUGAAAUGCGUAGAGAUCGGAAGGAACAUCUGUGGCGAAGGCGACUAUCUGGGCCAACACUGACGCUGAAGCACGAAAGCGUGGGGAGCAAACAGGAUUAGAUACCCGAGUAGUCCCUGUCUCUUAUAC
RNAcentral lists this ribosomal RNA (305 nucleotides) under uncultured bacterium. RNAcentral describes it as "partial 16S ribosomal RNA". It matches the Rfam family "Bacterial small subunit ribosomal RNA", at positions 505 to 807 of the family's 1533-position model. The record is from RNAcentral.